CCUACGGGAGGCAGCAGUGGGGAAUUUUGGACAAUGGGCGCAAGCCUGAUCCAGCAAUGCCGCGUGAGUGAAGAAGGCCUUCGGGUUGUAAAGCUCUUUUGUCAGGGAAGAAACGGUGGGGGCUAAUAUCUCCUACUAAUGACGGUACCUGAAGAAUAAGCACCGGCUAACUACGUGCCAGCAGCCGCGGUAAUACGUAGGGUGCAAGCGUUAAUCGGAAUUACUGGGCGUAAAGCGUGCGCAGGCGGUUUUGUAAGUCUGUCGUGAAAGCCCCGGGCUCAACCUGGGAAUUGCGAUGGAGACUGCAAGGCUUGAAUCUGGCAGAGGGGGGUAGAAUUCCACGUGUAGCAGUGAAAUGCGUAGAGAUGUGGAGGAACACCGAUGGCGAAGGCAGCCCCCUGGGUCAAGAUUGACGCUCAUGCACGAAAGCGUGGGGAGCAAACAGGAUUAGAUACCCUGGUAGUCCACGCCCUAAACGAUGUCUACUAGUUGUCGGGUUUUAAUUAACUUGGUAACGCAGCUAACGCGUGAAGCAGACCGCCUGGGGAGUACGGUCGCAAGAUUAAAACGUCAAAGGAAUUGACGG
RNAcentral lists this ribosomal RNA (586 nucleotides) under uncultured bacterium. Its description in RNAcentral is "bacterial SSU rRNA". It matches the Rfam family "Bacterial small subunit ribosomal RNA", at positions 338 to 916 of the family's 1533-position model. The record is from RNAcentral.